This 576-nucleotide ribosomal RNA is filed under the name uncultured bacterium. Its description in RNAcentral is "partial 16S ribosomal RNA". It matches the Rfam family "Bacterial small subunit ribosomal RNA", at positions 355 to 924 of the family's 1533-position model. The record is from RNAcentral.
UGGGGAAUUUUGGACAAUGGGGGAAACCCUGAUCCAGCCAUCCCGCGUGUGCGAUGAAGGCCUUCGGGUUGUAAAGCACUUUUGGCAGGAAAGAAACGUCGCGGGUUAAUACCCCGCGAAACUGACGGUACCUGCAGAAUAAGCACCGGCUAACUACGUGCCAGCAGCCGCGGUAAUACGUAGGGUGCAAGCGUUAAUCGGAAUUACUGGGCGUAAAGCGUGCGCAGGCGGUUCGGAAAGAAAGAUGUGAAAUCCCAGAGCUUAACUUUGGAACUGCAUUUUUAACUACCGGGCUAGAGUGUGUCAGAGGGAGGUGGAAUUCCGCGUGUAGCAGUGAAAUGCGUAGAUAUGCGGAGGAACACCGAUGGCGAAGGCAGCCUCCUGGGAUAACACUGACGCUCAUGCACGAAAGCGUGGGGAGCAAACAGGAUUAGAUACCCUGGUAGUCCACGCCCUAAACGAUGUCAACUAGCUGUUGGGGCCUUCGGGCCUUGGUAGCGCAGCUAACGCGUGAAGUUGACCGCCUGGGGAGUACGGUCGCAAGAUUAAAACUUAAAUGAAUUGACGGGGGUCAUA